Molecule: ribosomal RNA, 440 nt
Filed under: uncultured bacterium
Lineage: Bacteria
Description: partial 16S ribosomal RNA
Rfam family: Bacterial small subunit ribosomal RNA
Source: RNAcentral
CCUACGGGUGGCAGCAGUGGGGAAUAUUGCACAAUGGGGGAAACCCUGAUGCAGCGAUGCCGCGUGGGGGAAGAAGGUUUUCGGAUCGUAAACUCCUUUUAUCAGGGACGAUAAUGACGGUACCUGAAGAAAAAGCUCCUGCUAACUACUUGCCAGCAGCCGCGGUAAUACGGAGGGAGCGAGCGUUGUCCGGAAUGACUGGGUGUAAAGGGAGCGUAGGCGGGACGGCAAGUCAGAUGUGAAAACGGAGGGCUCAACUUUCAGACUGCAUUUGAAACUGGUGUUCUUGAGUGAAUUAGAGGAUAGCGGAAUUCCUGGUGUAGCAGUGAAAUGCGUAGAUAUUAGGAGGAACAUCGGUGGCGAAGGCGGCUUACUGGGCUUUUACUGACGCUGAGGCUCGAAAGCGUGGGGAGCAAACAGGAUUAGAUACCCCAGUAGUC